UUCUGCCGGCGACCGGCGCACGGGUGAGUAACACGUAUGCAACCUGCCCGUGGCAGGGGGAUAAGCGGGGGAAACCCCGUCUAAUACCGCGUAACGCGGCCUAGGGACAUCCCAAGGCCGCCAAAGGGAGCAAUCCCGGCCACGGAUGGGCAUGCGGCGCAUUAGCUAGUCGGCGGGGUAACGGCCCACCGAGGCGACGAUGCGUAGGGGUUCUGAGAGGAAGGCCCCCCACACUGGUACUGAGACACGGACCAGACUCCUACGGAAGGCAGCAG
RNAcentral lists this ribosomal RNA (275 nucleotides) under uncultured bacterium. Its description in RNAcentral is "partial 16S ribosomal RNA". It matches the Rfam family "Bacterial small subunit ribosomal RNA", at positions 83 to 354 of the family's 1533-position model. The record is from RNAcentral.